CCUACGGGGGGCAGCAGUGGGGAAUAUUGGACAAUGGGGGGAACCCUGAUCCAGCCAUGCCGCGUGUGUGAAGAAGGCCCUCGGGUUGUAAAGCACUUUCAGUGAGGAAGAACGCCUGGUGGUUAAUACCCAUCAGGAAAGACAUCACUCACAGAAGAAGCACCGGCUAACUCCGUGCCAGCAGCCGCGGUAAUACGGAGGGUGCGAGCGUUAAUCGGAAUUACUGGGCGUAAAGCGCGCGUAGGUGGCUUGAUAAGCCGGUUGUGAAAGCCCCGGGCUCAACCUGGGAACGGCAUCCGGAACUGUCAGGCUAGAGUGCAGGAGAGGAAGGUAGAAUUGCCGGUGUAGCGGUGAAAUGCGUAGAGAUCGGGAGGAAUACCAGUGGCGAAGGCGGCCUUCUGGACUGACACUGACACUGAGGUGCGAAAGCGUGGGUAGCAAACAGGAUUAGAUACCCCAGUAGUC
This 465-nucleotide ribosomal RNA is filed under the name Vreelandella stevensii. Its description in RNAcentral is "partial 16S ribosomal RNA". It matches the Rfam family "Bacterial small subunit ribosomal RNA", at positions 338 to 795 of the family's 1533-position model. Lineage: Bacteria; Pseudomonadati; Pseudomonadota; Gammaproteobacteria; Oceanospirillales; Halomonadaceae. The record is from RNAcentral.